GCGAGUGUGCUGAAAUUGGUAGCCAGAUGAGUCUUAGGAACUCAUGAUUCAUAAUCGUAAGAGUUCAAGUCUCUUUACUCGUA
RNAcentral lists this transfer RNA (83 nucleotides) under Laccaria bicolor. Its description in RNAcentral is "tRNA-Leu". It matches the Rfam family "tRNA". Rfam says of the family: Transfer RNA (tRNA) molecules are approximately 80 nucleotides in length. Their secondary structure includes four short double-helical elements and three loops (D, anti-codon, and T loops). Lineage: Eukaryota; Fungi; Basidiomycota; Agaricomycetes; Agaricales; Hydnangiaceae. The record is from RNAcentral.